Molecule: ribosomal RNA, 377 nt
Filed under: uncultured bacterium
Lineage: Bacteria
Description: bacterial SSU rRNA
Rfam family: Bacterial small subunit ribosomal RNA
Source: RNAcentral
AGACGAACCGUCCGAACGUUAUUCGGAAUCACUGGGCUUAAAGGGUGCGUAGGCGGUCAUGCAAGUUGGGUGUGAAAUCCCCCGGCUCAACCGGGGAACUGCGCUCAAAACUGCAUGACUUGAGGGAGUCAGAGGUGAGCGGAACUUAGGGUGGAGCGGUGAAAUGCGUUGAUAUCCUAAGGAACACCAGUUGCGAAAGCGGCUCACUGGGUCUUUUCUGACGCUGAGGCACGAAAGCUAGGGGAGCGAAGAGGAUUAGAUACCCUCGUAGUCCUAGCCGUAAACGAUGAGCACUUGGUCGGAGAAUCCUCCAUAGUUUUCCGGCCGUAGCGAAAGUGGUAAGUGCUCCGCCUGGGGAGUAUGGUCGCAAGGCUGAA